RNAcentral lists this signal recognition particle RNA (148 nucleotides) under Homo sapiens (human). RNAcentral's name for it is "Metazoan signal recognition particle RNA". It matches the Rfam family "Metazoan signal recognition particle RNA". From Rfam's summary of the family: The signal recognition particle (SRP) is a universally conserved ribonucleoprotein. It is involved in the co-translational targeting of proteins to membranes. The record is from Rfam by way of RNAcentral. Lineage: Eukaryota; Metazoa; Chordata; Mammalia; Primates; Hominidae.
GCUGGGCAUGGUGGCGCGUGCCUGUAGUCCCAGCUACUCAGGAGGCUGAGGCAGGGGAAUUGCUUGAACCCGGGAGGUGGAGGUUGCAGUGAGCCGAGAUCAUGCCACUGCACUCCAGCCUGGGCGACAGAGCAAGACUCUGUCUCAA